UGGACAAACAGGACAGAGGACACAGCAGAAGAAGCAGAAUGAUUUGGAUGUUCUGUACACAGCUAUAAAUCCACAAACUAAACGCAAGAAAGCAGAAGAAAAGGAUGAUGUGACGUACUCGACUGUAGUCCACAGCAACCCUGUGAGAGCAGCACACACUCAAGAGGCAUCAGGAGAUACAACAGUAU
Molecule: long non-coding RNA, 188 nt
Organism: Neoarius graeffei (lesser salmon catfish)
Lineage: Eukaryota; Metazoa; Chordata; Actinopteri; Siluriformes; Ariidae
Exons: 3
Source: RefSeq, a predicted model, not a curated record